RNAcentral lists this ribosomal RNA (491 nucleotides) under uncultured bacterium. RNAcentral's name for it is "bacterial SSU rRNA". It matches the Rfam family "Bacterial small subunit ribosomal RNA", at positions 28 to 514 of the family's 1533-position model. The record is from RNAcentral.
GAUGAACGCUGGCGGCGUGCUUAACACAUGCAAGUUGAACGGGGCUACCUGGAUAGAGGAUUCGUCCAAUUGAAGGGUAUGCCUAGUAGCGGACGGGUGAGUAACGCGUGAGUAACCUGCCUAGGAGUGGGGAAUAACAGUUCGAAAGGACUGCUAAUACCGCAUAAUGCAAUUAGGUCGCAUGGCCUUGAUUGCCAAAGAUUUAUCGCUCUUAGAUGGACUCGCGUCUGAUUAGCUAGUUGGCGGGGUAACGGCCCACCAAGGCGACGAUCAGUAGCCGGACUGAGAGGUUGACCGGCCACAUUGGGACUGAGACACGGCCCAGACUCCUACGGGAGGCAGCAGUGGGGAAUAUUGGGCAAUGGGCGCAAGCCUGACCCAGCAACGCCGCGUGAAGGAAGAAGGCUUUCGGGUUGUAAACUUCUUUUAUUCGGGUACGAACAAAUAGACGGUACCGAAUGAAUAAGCCACGGCUAACUACGUGCCAGCAG